GCUAGCCAUUCAUUCAGAUCCUGGUAUUAGGCCAUGGUAUAAAGGUGCCUAGUAGGUCGGACUGUCUUCCUCUCUGUCUCUCGCUCGGUUUGUCCCUGGGUUUCACGCAGGAGCCAAUCGCCAGCUCUGCGUCUCCCUUACUCUGCCGUGGCUGUAUGGAACCUGACCUGUCUAGCAUUAGAUAACUCUCCCCUGCAGCUUAUGACGAUGGCACGGCGUGUGUUUUAAGCGUUCUUUAGGCCUACUGGCUAAUCAGUGACUGCAAGUGUUUGGCCUGUGGGUUAUCUUCGGCGGGGGGUAGCU
This is a long non-coding RNA of Alosa alosa (allis shad), 303 nucleotides long. RefSeq lists it as uncharacterized. The transcript is spliced from 4 exons. The record is from RefSeq and is a predicted model, not a curated record. Lineage: Eukaryota; Metazoa; Chordata; Actinopteri; Clupeiformes; Clupeidae.